This 497-nucleotide ribosomal RNA is filed under the name uncultured bacterium. Its description in RNAcentral is "partial 16S ribosomal RNA". It matches the Rfam family "Bacterial small subunit ribosomal RNA", at positions 28 to 507 of the family's 1533-position model. The record is from RNAcentral.
GAUGAACGCUGGCGGCGUGCCUAAUACAUGCAAGUCGAGCGAACAGACGAGGAGCUUGCUCCUCUGACGUUAGCGGCGGACGGGUGAGUAACACGUGGAUAACCUACCUAUAAGACUGGGAUAACUUCGGGAAACCGGAGCUAAUACCGGAUAAUAUAUUGAACCGCAUGGUUCAAUAGUGAAAGACGGUUGUGCUGUCAAUUAUAGAUGGAUCCGCGCCGCAUGAGCUAGUUGGUAAGGUAACGGCUUACCAAGGCAACGAUGCGUAGCCGACCUGAGAGGGUGAUCGGCCACACUGGAACUGAGACACGGUCCAGACUCCUACGGGAGGCAGCAGUAGGGAAUCCUCCGCAAUGGGCGAAAGCCUGACGGAGCAACGCCGCGUGAGUGAUGAAGGUCUUCGGAUCGUAAAACUCUGUUAUUAGGGAAGAACAAAUGUGUAAGUAACUAUGCACGUCUUGACGGUACCUAAUCAGAAAGCCACGGCUAACUACGUG